This 440-nucleotide long non-coding RNA is filed under the name Gossypium raimondii (Peruvian cotton). RNAcentral's name for it is "long non-coding RNA (GRAI_LNC001372)". Lineage: Eukaryota; Viridiplantae; Streptophyta; Magnoliopsida; Malvales; Malvaceae. The record is from RNAcentral.
UCGAAGCACCAGUUCCUAUACCUCUGAAGAUACAGUAGGAUGGAAUGGAGCCACUUGAAGAAGAAGAGCACCAAGGUCCAAGCACGACCGGGCAAAAUUGGUCUUUUUUAGUCUUUACUCUAUUCUUGUUACACGACAAUGAGCAAAGAGCGGCAGCUGUAAUAGGCCCAAUUUGCCCGGGCCCAAAAGCACAAACAAAAAAUAAAUAAACCAAAUAUAAAAAAAUAAAAAAAGUGUCCAAUGAAAUAGCAGUCCAGAUUACAAAAAAAACUCACUAGACCCAACAGUAGGCCCAACAUGGCUCAAACCCAAUUACAUUUAGCCUAACCCUCCAGCCUAAUGGCCCAAAUCACUACCCAAACCCAAAUCUAAACCUAAACAGACCCUAAACCCAAUUUUCAAAUACCCUCCAGCCCAACUACCAUGGCCCAACGCCGCCC